UCCCAGACAGAGAGGAGGAGAUGGAGGUAGAUGCAAAGAUUGAUAUGGAGGAGGAGAUGGAGGUGGAUGUGGAGGUGGAAGAAGAGAUGGAGGUGGAUGUGGAAGAGUCCAUUGAGGACAUGGACAUUGAUUAAAAAGGUGCGAUGGACAUCAUGGACAGAGAUGCCACCCUUUUGUACAUACCUUUUACAUUUUGUUGUUGUCUUAUAGGUUUUAGGGCUUUUUGUCUUCUGUAAAUAUGUUUCAUCUAUUUUUGCUAGAUAGGUUCUUAUGUAUAUAUGUUCUAUCGAUUGUUGUUGUUGCUAAUAUUCUUACAAUGUAAAUAUCUUCUGUAUUUUUGCUGCUGCUUUUCUGUAAUAAACAAAUUUUAUUUUUCACA
Molecule: long non-coding RNA, 379 nt
Organism: Passer domesticus (house sparrow)
Lineage: Eukaryota; Metazoa; Chordata; Aves; Passeriformes; Passeridae
Exons: 2
Source: RefSeq, a predicted model, not a curated record